This is a long non-coding RNA of Pogoniulus pusillus (Red-fronted tinkerbird), 614 nucleotides long. RefSeq lists it as uncharacterized. Lineage: Eukaryota; Metazoa; Chordata; Aves; Piciformes; Lybiidae. The transcript is spliced from 4 exons. The record is from RefSeq and is a predicted model, not a curated record.
GGGCCCCAGGAAAGACAGUGCCCAAGCUUGCCCAACUGGGCAGAGGGAUCCUCCUCCUCCUGUCAUCACUGGAAUGAAUCUGUGCAAUGUUUAUGAGAGGCACUGAAUCAGCAUGGAGGAAGCAUGGCAGUGAGGGUUCAGUUUCAUCAAGGCAAGGCUAGGACAAUAGCCUUCGUAUCACAAACCGACGUUAAUCAUCCUGAGUGACAGCAGCGGCGCAGGGACGAAAAAAGGGCGAGAGCUUGAACCGUUUGUGGCGGUUUAAACCAAUCGCUUGGAAUCAGACAAUGUCAGUUCAGUUUACUACACGUUUUAAUGUCAGUAGUCAACGCUGCUAUUAACAGCUGGACUUCAAAGUUCAGAUGGAGCAGGAGUCUUGAGGACAGAGAAGCCAACCUCAAGCACUGUGCCUGAUUGGCACUACCUGAUUUCCACAGUUUUGAAAAUCCCAUGGAAAAUCUGUAUUAAAAUGACCUUCUCCUGGGAAAGAAAACAGCAGAGAAUUAAAGUCAUGUUUAAUAUUGAGAUUUUAAACAAGCUUGAGUGCUUUUCACAGAACACACUAUUAACUCGUGGAACUCAUUGCCUCAGGAUUUUAUGGAGGCUGGAAAUAA